Molecule: ribosomal RNA, 576 nt
Filed under: uncultured bacterium
Lineage: Bacteria
Description: bacterial SSU rRNA
Rfam family: Bacterial small subunit ribosomal RNA
Source: RNAcentral
GCUAGGGCUUGCCCUAGUGGAAAGUGGCAGACGGGUGAGUAACGCGUGGGAAUUUACCUAGAGGUACGGAAUAACGCAGGGAAACUUGUGCUAAUACCGUAUAUACCCUUCGGGGGAAAGAUUUAUCGCCUUUAGAUGAGCCCGCGUCGGAUUAGUUUGUUGGUGAGGUAAUGGCUCACCAAGACGUCGAUCCGUAGCUGGUCUGAGAGGAUGAUCAGCCACACUGGGACUGAGACACGGCCCAGACUCCUACGGGAGGCAGCAGUGGGGAAUAUUGCACAAUGGGCGCAAGCCUGAUGCAGCCAUGCCGCGUGAGUGAUGAAGGCCCUAGGGUUGUAAAGCUCUUUCACUGGUGAAGAUAAUGACGGUAGCCGGAGAAGAAGCCCCGGCUAACUCCGUGCCAGCAGCCGCGGUAAUACGGAGGGGGCUAGCGUUGUUCGGAAUUACUGGGCGUAAAGCGCGCGUAGGCGGGCUGGUCAGUUGGGGGUGAAAUCCCGAGGCUUAACCUCGGAACUGCCUCCAAAACUGCCAGUCUUGAGUUCGAGAGAGGUGAGUGGAAUUCCUAGUGUAGAGGUG